GGUUAAAAAGCUCGUAGUUGGAUGUCUGUUGAGGAUGACCGGUCCGCUCUUUGAGUCGACGUAUCUGGUAUCAGCCUUGAGCAUCCUGCUUGGGGAACGCUGAUCUGUGCUUGAUUGCAUGGGGCGGUAUUCAAGACUUUUACUUUGAGGAAAUUAGAGUGUUCACUGCAAGCGUUAGCAAUUGAAUACAUUACCAUGGAAUAAUAAUAUAGGACCUUGGUACUAUCUUGUGUUGGCUUCUAGAACUAAGGUAAUGAUUAAUAGGGACAAUUGGGGGCAUUCGUAUUAACGCGUCAGAGGUGGAAUUCUUAGAUUGCGUUACGACGAACUACUGCGAAAGCAUUUGCCAAGGAUGUUUUCAUUGAUCAAGAACGAAAGUAUGGGGAUCGAAGACGCUUAGAUACCGUCGUAGUCUAUACCAUAAACUAUGCCAACUAGAGAUUGGAGGUCGUUCUCUUUAUGACUCCUUCAGCACCUUAUGAGAAAUCAAAGUCUUUGGGUUCCGGGGGGAGUAUGGUCGCAAGGCUGAAACUUAAAGGAAUUGACGGAAGGGCACCACCAGGAGUGGAACCUGCGGCUUAAUUUGACUC
RNAcentral lists this ribosomal RNA (590 nucleotides) under uncultured marine eukaryote. RNAcentral's name for it is "SSU rRNA". It matches the Rfam family "Eukaryotic small subunit ribosomal RNA", at positions 617 to 1201 of the family's 1831-position model. The record is from RNAcentral.